GAUGAACGCUGGCGGCGUGCCUAAUACAUGCAAGUCGAGCGAACGGACGAGAAGCUUGCUUCUCUGAUGUUAGCGGCGGACGGGUGAGUAACACGUGGAUAACCUACCUAUAAGACUGGGAUAACUUCGGGAAACCGGAGCUAAUACCGGAUAAUAUUUUGAACCGCAUGGUUCAAUAGUGAAAGACGGUCUUGCUGUCACUUAUCGAUGGAUCCGCGCUGCAUUGGCUAGUUGUUACGGUAACGGCUUAGCAAGGCUACGAUGCAUAGCCGACGUGAGAGGCGGAUAGGCGACCUGGGAGGGGGACCGGGGUCCUGGGUCCUAAGGGAGGCAGCAGUAGGGAACCGGCGGCAAUGGGCGAAAGCCUGACGGAGCAACGGCGCGUGAGUGAUGAAGGUGUUCGGAUCGUAAAGCUCUGUUAUGAGGGAAGAACAGAUGUGUAAGGAACUGUGCACAGCUUGACGGUAACUGAUCAGAAAGCCACGGCUAACUACGUG
Molecule: ribosomal RNA, 497 nt
Filed under: uncultured bacterium
Lineage: Bacteria
Description: partial 16S ribosomal RNA
Rfam family: Bacterial small subunit ribosomal RNA
Source: RNAcentral